Molecule: long non-coding RNA, 988 nt
Filed under: Cottoperca gobio
Lineage: Eukaryota; Metazoa; Chordata; Actinopteri; Perciformes; Bovichtidae
Description: lncRNA (ENSCGOG00000019970.1)
Source: RNAcentral
UUAUUUUGAUAUACUCACCUUUGUCUCUUGUUGCAGAUACUUCACUUCCUGCCCUUGUGUGUUUUCCACCUGUCCCUCGUUAGCCCUGCUGCCACCUGUCCCUCGUUAUCACCCUCCUCUCAUUGUGUAUAAUCUGUUUCAGUGAACCGUCCAGCUGUAAGAUCCCAGUGUUUUUGUUAACUUUUGCCUUCUUACCCGUUCGAACCCUACCUACAAGUUAAGACUUUUCAUUUAAAAUACUCUGGGAGCAUCUGAGUCCAUUGUAUGUUGGUACUACUGUGACCCUGGUAGAACAGAAGCUCUGGCCCCCAGUUGGCCCCUUAAGUGAUCCAGACACAAGCCAAUUUAAGUCCACCUUUAAUAAUAAUAAUAAUUUACAUACUGUAUGGAUGAUAUUUAAUGUCAGAUGUUGUUGGUUUCAUGACUAUCCACACAUUCAUUUUAAACUUGUCAAUCAUUCAUAUUAUACCUAAAUAACUGGAAUGUGUGUUCUGGUAAAAAGCCACAUAACAGUGUAUUCCAGCCUGUUAAAAGUAUUUGCAUGUACUCAGUAUGUGUCAACCUGUUGAGUACCAUACGAGUAGGUUUCACCACAUCAUGAUCUGGUUCAAACUCAGGUCUGGCUCGAUUGUCUCAGGCUUAUCAAAACAUUUUAUGGUUUGGAGUCCAUAAUCCCACAGUUCAGGGAUCUGAGGAUGAAUUGUUGCAGUGCUAAUGUCCGAGAGGGAUAUAUUCACAUACUGAAGCAGUGUGAGUGUCGGGCUCUUAUACCUGCAGCAGUUCUCGGCCUGAUCCUCGUUUCUCCACGUCCAUCUCCAGACAACGGGACAGGAAAGAUCUGAAGACAGGAGACAGCUUCUCUGGACUCUGCAGCUCAGGAGUCCCAUUGGUGGCAAUUAAAUACAAAGCCGACCAAAACCACUCCAGUUUAAGCUAAAAAACUUCGGAGCAUCCAAGCUACACGUGGAAGCGAAAGAAAGUUAUGCUA